RNAcentral lists this ribosomal RNA (484 nucleotides) under uncultured bacterium. RNAcentral's name for it is "partial 16S ribosomal RNA". It matches the Rfam family "Bacterial small subunit ribosomal RNA", at positions 30 to 507 of the family's 1533-position model. The record is from RNAcentral.
AUUGAACGCUAGCGGGAUGCUUUACACAUGCAAGUCGAACGGCAGCGCGGACUUCGGUCUGGCGGCGAGUGGCGAACGGGUGAGUAAUGUAUCGGAACGUGCCCAGUAGCGGGGGAUAACUACGCGAAAGCGUAGCUAAUACCGCAUACGCCCUACGGGGGAAGGCGGGGGACCGAAAUACCUUGCAUUUUUGGGCGGUCCGAUAUCGUAUUAGCUAGUUGGUGAGGUAACGGCUCACCAAGGCGACGAUCCGUAGCUGGUUUGAGAGGACGACCAGCCACACUGGGACUGAGACACGGCCCAGACUCCUACGGGAGGCAGCAGUGGGGAAUUUUGGACAAUGGGGGCAACCCUGAUCCAGCCAUCCCGCGUGUGCGAUGAAGGCCUUCGGGUUGUAAAGCACUUUUGGCAGGAAAGAAACGUCGCGGGCUAAUACCCCGUGGAACUGACGGUACCUGCAGAAUAAGCACCGGCUAACUACGUG